UACGUAGGGUGCAAGCGUUAAUCGGAAUUACUGGGCGUAAAGCGCGCGUAGGCGGCUUUGCAAGUCGAGUGUGAAAUCCCCAGGCUCAACCUGGGAACUGCAUUCGAGACUGCAUAGCUAGAGUAUGGGAGAGGGAAGUGGAAUUUCAGGUGUAGCGGUGAAAUGCGUAGAUAUCUGAAGGAACAUCAGUGGCGAAAGCGACUUCCUGGACCAAUACUGACGCUCAUGUGCGAAAGCGUGGGGAGCAAACAGG
RNAcentral lists this ribosomal RNA (253 nucleotides) under uncultured bacterium. Its description in RNAcentral is "partial 16S ribosomal RNA". It matches the Rfam family "Bacterial small subunit ribosomal RNA", at positions 524 to 776 of the family's 1533-position model. The record is from RNAcentral.